Molecule: unclassified non-coding RNA, 310 nt
Filed under: plant metagenome
Description: partial contains 5.8S ribosomal RNA, internal transcribed spacer 2, and large subunit ribosomal RNA
Rfam family: 5.8S ribosomal RNA (bases 1-105)
Source: RNAcentral
GAAAUGCGAUAAGUAGUGUGAAUUGCAGAAUUCAGUGAAUCAUCGAAUCUUUGAACGCACAUUGCGCCCCUUGGUAUUCCAUGGGGCAUGCCUGUUCGAGCGUCAUUUGUACCCUCAAGCUCUGCUUGGUGUUGGGUGUUUGUCCCCGUCUCCGCGCGUGGACUCGCCCCAAAGUGAUUGGCAGCCGGCGUACUGGUCCCGGAGCGCAGCACAUGUCGCGCAAACGAGUGCCUUGGUACGGCGGCGUCCAUAAGCCCCUCUCUCACGCUCUUGACCUCGGAUCAGGUAGGGAUACGCGCUAAACUUAAGC